This 497-nucleotide ribosomal RNA is filed under the name uncultured bacterium. Its description in RNAcentral is "partial 16S ribosomal RNA". It matches the Rfam family "Bacterial small subunit ribosomal RNA", at positions 28 to 507 of the family's 1533-position model. The record is from RNAcentral.
GACGAACGCUGGCGGCGUGCCUAAUACAUGCAAGUUGAGCGCUGAAGGUUGGUACUUGUACCAACUGGAUGAGCAGCGAACGGGUGAGUAACGCGUGGGGAAUCUGCCUUUGAGCGGGGGACAACAUCUGGAAACGAAUGCUAAUACCGCAUAAAAACUUUAAACACAAGUUUUAAGUUUGAAAGAUGCAAUUGCAUCACUCAAAGAUGAUCCCGCGUUGUAUUAGCUAGUUGGUGAGGUAAAGGCUCACCAAGGCGAUGAUACAUAGCCGACCUGAGAGGGUGAUCGGCCACAUUGGGACUGGGACAAGGCCCAAACUCCUACGGGAGGCAGCAGUAGGGAAUCUUCGGCAAUGGACGAAAGUCUGACCGAGCAACGCCGCGUGAGUGAAGAAGGUUUUCGGAUCGUAAAACUCUGUUGGUAGAGAAGAACGUUGGUGAGAGUGGAAAGCUCAUCAAGUGACGGUAACUACCCAGAAAGGGACGGCUAACUACGUG